RNAcentral lists this ribosomal RNA (634 nucleotides) under uncultured fungus. RNAcentral describes it as "eukaryotic LSU rRNA". The stretch from base 206 to 359 matches the Rfam family "5.8S ribosomal RNA". Lineage: Eukaryota; Fungi. The record is from RNAcentral.
AGUCGUAACAAGGUUUCCGUAGGUGAACCUGCGGAAGGAUCAUUAGUGAAUCUAGGACGUCCAACUUAACUUGGAGUCCGAACUCUCACUUUCUAACCCUGUGCAUCUGUUUUAAAAUUGGCUAGUAGCUCUUCGGAGUGAACCACCAUUUUUCACUUAUACAAACACAAAGUCUAUGAAUGUAAGCAAAUUUAUAACAAAACAAAACUUUCAACAACGGAUCUCUUGGCUCUCGCAUCGAUGAAGAACGCCGCGAAAUGCGAUACGUAAUGUGAAUUGCAGAAUUCAGUGAAUCAUCGAAUCUUUGAACGCACCUUGCGCUCCUUGGUAUUCCGAGGAGCAUGCCUGUUUGAGUGUCAUGAAAUCUUCAACCCACCUCUUUCUUAGUGAAUCUGGUGGUGCUUGGUUUCUGAGCGCUGCUCUGCUUCGGCUUAGCUCGUUCGUAAUGCAUUAGCAUCCGCAACCGAAACUUCGGAUUGACUUGGCGUAAUAGACUAUUCGCUGAGGAUUCCAGACUUGUUCUGGAGCCGAGUUGGGUUAAAGGAAGCUUCUAAUCCUAAAGUCUAUUUUUUGAUUAGAUCUCAAAUCAGGUAGGACUACCCGCUGAACUUAAGCAUAUCAAUAGUAAAAGUCG